CUUCCCUUGGCGGUCUACCGCCUCGACUGCGGGCUGACCGUUGCCGGCCUCGCAUCUCUCUCUGGUGUGUCGCACACGCGGAGCUGUUGAAGCGCGCGUCUUUGUCUGUUUAACGGUGUCGGCUCGAGGUGUGCGUGUGCCUGCCCAGGCGGACCCUGAGUGAAGGCGGGGAGAGCCAUCCAGAGAGAGAGAGAGCGGGCGAGGCUCGAGAAAAGGCGCAAAGAGAGAGGAGGCAGGAAAUCGAGGCGUGCGUCUUCUUUCCUGUACACAGUUCUCUUCCCCGCUGCAUCCCCCUCGCAUCCGCCUUUCCGAAAGCCGAGCAGACUCCUCUUGCGCUCUUGAGCUGUUUAUCGUUUCUUUUUCUUCACAUCGUGGCUGUGCAUCGAGCAUGUCUUCCACGAGCAACACGGAGCAGAACACCCCCUCCCUCUCUCCGUCUACAUACCAUGUCACACCGAGACAAGAUGAAAGCUUGUCGACGUACAAGCAGCAGCGACGAGGCAGGCGUUCUUCCCUCCUCCUAGAAGCAGCGGAAGGCGCAAAGCAAGAGGGCAGGUGUCUUGCGCCACACGACGAACACGAAGAGCGUGCUGGCCUCGACCCGACUCCGCUCUCUUGUUUUGAGGUGGUGGGGGUGGGUGUUUUUGGUGUGACAGGGCGCAGUUUCGUCACCAUCGCCUUCCUGUGCAUUUCGUGCGCGUACGUAGGGUGUUUCGAUGUAGCCGGGCCAUCGUUUUAGUUCGACCUCGCAGUAUGCCCGCGGUUGCCCUUCUCGCAUGCUGCUUCCUCAGCACCCCUUGUGUGCAUCUCCGCUCUCCCUCCCUAUUCUCCCUCCCUCUCCCUCGCGGAACUCUUCACCACGUGCACACAUCCACACACGCACCCCGCAUACGCGGUCAACAUGAACACCACCACCGCUACUCCGAUACGUGCGCGCGCCUCCCCGGUUCUUCGACUUCAG
This 961-nucleotide unclassified non-coding RNA is filed under the name Leishmania donovani. Its description in RNAcentral is "gene:unknown". The record is from RNAcentral. Lineage: Eukaryota; Euglenozoa; Kinetoplastea; Trypanosomatida; Trypanosomatidae.